Molecule: long non-coding RNA, 4227 nt
Filed under: Marmota monax (woodchuck)
Lineage: Eukaryota; Metazoa; Chordata; Mammalia; Rodentia; Sciuridae
Source: RNAcentral
GGAAAAGUUCGUUACUAUACUCUUGAAUGCAUCAAUGUCCAUUGGAGGUAAGGCUUCCAAUUCUUGUGGUUUUCAGGGUGCUGGGUGCAAAUUGCCUGCUUGAGACCAAAAGCAUUCACUGAGGCUUUAGCUUCAGCCCCUCUCCUCUGCUUUCAAUGCAAGUUCGAGUUAGGAAGAUGUUUUUUCUGAAUGUUUUUAUUCCAAAAAUUUCUAUGUUGAAAUCCUAACCUUAUCUGAGAUGAUGGUAUGAGGUGGGGCAUUUCUGGAGGUGAUUAGGGGUUAUGGGGACUUCUUUACUCCUUCAACCAUUAGAGGACACAGUGAGAAAGUGCCAUCCUUGAGAAAGCGGGCUAUCACCAGACAUUGAAUCUGCUAGCACCUUGAUCUUGAACAUCCCAGCCUCCAGGACUGUGAGAAGUUUCUUUUGUUUAUAAGUUAUCCAGUUUAUUGCAUUUUGUUAUGGUAACCCAAAGGGACUAAGACAGGGAACAGCUAGACCUUCAUUGAAUUUGUGGUGGGAGGAGAUACUAGUGGGUCAUCUCUUCUGAGUGAAGUUUACCCAGUUCCAUUUUUCUUCUUAAAAGUUUAAGCAAAGAUGCUUAACCUGGAGUUCCCCAGUUCCCAAAGAUAGAAUACAGGGGGGCCUGUGAAACGGAAUGGGAAAAAAUUAACAUCUUUAUUUUCACUAAACUUUAAACAAACAGCAUCUUCUUCACUAUAAUGAUAGGAAAAAAAACACAGUAGCAUUGGUAGUACCUGUGACUUGUCACUAAUAGAAAUCACAGAUAUUCCCAUAUUGUAUUAUAGCUAUUGCACACCUCCAAAUCUCAUUUAUGCUCUUUACAAUCUUAACAUUACUUCAGUUAUUAAACUUACUCUAGAUCUUGUUAUUAAAUAUUUUAAUAAAGGAGCACUAUAGUGUUAAGAGUACCAUUUCAUUUUUUUAUAUUUUAUAACUGAAUAUCAGUAAAAUGGUUUCCUUGUUAAUCUUAUGAACUUCAUUUUAUGAACCUAAAAAUAUUCUGAGAAGGGAUUUAUUAAAAUAUAUUAAACUUUAAAAACAUCAUUUCAUAUGGUGGCACAUGCCUGUAAUCCCAGCAACUUGGAAGGCUAAGGCAGAGGAUUGCAAAUUAAAGGCAAGCCUGGGCAACUUAGUGAGACCCUGUCUCAAAAAAUAAUAAAAUAAAAAGAGUUGGGAAUGUAGGUCAGUGGUAGAGCACCCCUGGGUUCAAUACCUGAAAUAGCAAAAAAAAUAAAAUAAAAAAAUAAAAAAUAAAAGGACAAUUUCAGAUUCUGGAACCUCCAGUCUGUCUUUGGUUGUUUGGGAUUGGUGUGGUUCACUCUCUAUAUUGGUUUUAUAUGUUAUCAGUAACAACAUAGCAUUUAAACCCAAAAGGGUCUGCAUUCUUUCUUCAAGAGUGAAAGGAUUUCUUGAGCAGACUACACUCCAUUCCACAACCAGGUUUGGAGGAAUGUGGGCUAGAGGACCCUAAGGGAGAGUGUGCAUGGCCCUUGCCCUUCUUAAAGAUUCCUCAACAUUUAGAUUUCAAUUAAAAAUGCCUUUCACGCUGGGCAUGGUGGUGCAUGCCUGCAAUCCCAGCAAUUUGGGAGGCUGAGGCAAGAGGAUCACAAGUUUAAGGCCAGCCUGAGCAACUUAGUAAGGCCCUAAGCAACUUAAGGAGAACUUAUCUCAAAAUUAAAACAACAACAAUAAAAAAACACUUGCAGAGCAAAGGGGCCAUCAACCUUAAUUUCCACUGGUGACUCACCAGUCUAAACAUUUUUUUUGUAUCACGGAAUGAACUCAGGGAGCUUAACCACUAAGCCACAUUCCAAAUCUUUAUUUUGAGACAGAGUUUCACAAGUUACUUAGGGCCUUACUAAAUUGCUGAGGCUGGCUGGAAACUUGCCACCCUCCUGCCUCAGUCUUCCAAUUCACUAGGAUUACAGGCAUAGGCCUCCAUGCCCAGCUCACCCUCCGUUACAUUUUACUCUUGACCUGAGUCCACAAAGACAGAGCCUUUGAAAUGGAAUAUCCCAACUAGGUGUGGUGGUGCAUACCUGGAAUUUCAGCAAUUGGGGAAGAUGAGGCAGGAGAAUCAUAAAUUCAAGGCCAGCCUGGACAACUUAGUGAGACUUUGUCUUAAAAUUCAAAGGGCGGAGGAUGUAGCUCAGUAGUAAAGCAUUUGCUAGCUUGCACAAGGCCCUAGGUCUGAUUUUCAGUACCAAAAAAAGACAAAAAUAAACAAACAAAACAAAAAGAAAUACCACUCCUUUUAUAUCUCUAAUAUUAGGCAAAAAUAACAGGAUUCUGAACAAGUUAAAGUAAUGGAAAUUACUUAGAGAAAAUGACAGUUCAUGCUAAGAAUUUUACCUUCAUAAUUAUUGAUGUGCAGAGAGAGAUUCAUGAUAAUGAAUUGAUGUGCAGAGAGAGAUUCAUGGGCUGGAGGUGUGUAGCUCAGUGGUAGAGGUCUUGCCUGGCAUAUUUUGCAUACUAAAGUCCCAGUUUUAAUGCAUAGCAACACAUAAACACACACACAAAGGCACAUUACAAAAUAGCAAUUUUUGUCUGCAAUGCAAAAUUUUAUAUCAUAUAUAAAGAGGGAAAUAUAAGACAGGGCAGAAUCUGAAAAUAUACCCAUAAAAAUGUUAAUAAUAGUUAAUUCUGAAUAGAGGGCUCAUAGGGGAUUUUUAAUUUUUGCAUUAUUUUUUUCUUUUUUCCUGAUGUACAUGUUUUACAUUUGUUUAAAAAGAUAAGGCAAUACAGCUGUUUUCAUUUUGUAAAACUAAAAAUGUUAAACUACUUCUUACUGCACUUAGAACCUUGAAGAGCUACUUAACCAACUCACUGGCUUCUCACCUUUUGGGGAGAUAAAAAGGCAGAAUGAAGAGUGGAGGAAUUUAAUUUCUUCACCAAAACAAAACAACAACAAAUACUUAUGUGUUAUAACAUCGACUUUAUAGAGGGGGUCACAUUAAGGCUUCCAUAUUCUUUGGCUAAUCAACAACCAGUACAUAGCAAGCUUCCUUCAAGGUCAGCUCUCCCCUUCCCAUUACAAGUUCAUUUCCCUCUCAGAGUGCUCACUAGAGUGCUUGAGGAUAGUGAGAGAGAUUUUCCUUCCAGAUCUCCACACUCCAUUUCUCUAAGUUAUAAUAUUUUUUUUCUGUGUCCAAUUUUUCUUCCUUUUCUACUUUUCAAUCUUUCUAGUCCUCCUUUCUGGGUAUUGCUCCCAGAUGUUUUAGAUAAUUUACUCUAAAAAAUGAGUAUUUUGAAAACUGUGACUGUCUCCAGAGCUGAAACAAACCCAUACCCAGUGUUUCAGUUAUCUCUGGCAGAAUAGCCCACCCCCAAACCCCCACCCCUGGGCCACUCCUGCCCAAAAAAAUCUGUGUGGAGGUAGCAGGAAAUGCCUCCUGGGUUGCUCUUCUGUUUAUUGUCCAUGAUUCUGUGGGUCAGAGUCUGCAGGGAAUGGCUCAUCUUUGCUCCAUGUAGCAUCAGUUGGGCCUGUGUGACAGCUGCAGGGUCUCAGGUGGCCCUUUUCACACAUGUGGAAUUUGGCUGUUGGUCAGGGUGUCCUGGUUUCCUCCACGUGGCUACUGUUGUUCCAAUUAGUCUCUCAUUAUUCUACAGGUUAACCUGAGUUCCCCUGCCCAGUGGCUGAUUCCAAAGGGGAUGAAAACAGAACCUUCAAAGUCCUAAGACCUUCAAGUCCCACAGCACCACCCUGAUUCUACCAGUCAAAGCAAGUCACACCCAGAAUCAAGGGGUGGGAAAACAGAUUUCCCCUCUUGCUGCAAAAAUAGUAAAGGUUAUGCAGGCAGAAGGAGUUGUUGUGGACAUCUUCAGGAAUAAUUCAUCAAAUAUAGAGUUCAAGAUUAAAAAAAAAUUUUAAAUGAGCUUAACAAUCAUGGUAAUGAUAAUAAUAUCACCAGUGAGAGGUUGUUUUUUUUUUUUUUUUCCUACUGACACUUCCACUUUCAGCCCUCAUUUGCCUCUCCUCUCCUAGCUGGAAUAUUAGCCCAGAAAAUCGUGAGUUCUUGCUGUAUUACCCUUGUCUCCCUCUUCCUCCACGUGCAUUCCCCAGAUGCUCACUCUUACUCCUCUGCUUUUCUCUGGUUCUUUCCUUUUCUUGGAGGAUUUCAUCUGUUCCCCAGGCUUCAACUGCCACUCUACCCUGAAGACUCCCGAAUUUUAAUUUCCAGCCAGCCUGAAACUGCAAGUGCCUC